GGAAGUAGAAGUCGUAACAAGGUUUCCGUAGGUGAACCUGCGGAAGGAUCAUUAUUGAAUGAAACACUUCUGGCUUUAUGCUGUUGUGCUGGCCCUUUGGGCAAUGUGCACACGGCUCUGGUCACUUGUUUCUUCUGUUCCACCUGUGCACUGCCUGUAGACACGCUGUGUCUAUGAUAUUUGUUAACACACAACAAUGUUAGUUGGCAUGUUAUAUAUAAUAAUAAAAUAUACAACUUUCAACAACGGAUCUCUUGGCUCUC
This 263-nucleotide unclassified non-coding RNA is filed under the name plant metagenome. RNAcentral describes it as "partial contains small subunit ribosomal RNA, internal transcribed spacer 1, and 5.8S ribosomal RNA". The stretch from base 1 to 54 matches the Rfam family "Eukaryotic small subunit ribosomal RNA", at positions 1778 to 1831 of the family's 1831-position model. The record is from RNAcentral.